Molecule: unclassified non-coding RNA, 1090 nt
Filed under: Hevea brasiliensis (rubber tree)
Lineage: Eukaryota; Viridiplantae; Streptophyta; Magnoliopsida; Malpighiales; Euphorbiaceae
Source: RNAcentral
AAAAAAAAUACACCCAACAUCUCCUUUUCUUUCCCCUUGUAAAUUAACAUAGCAUACAGCAAACACAAAGAAUUUCAGUAAAGGUUCAUUGUGGUGUUGCUCAAAGGUAGAAUUAAAAUACCUAUCCUCACAUAAAGUUGGUUUUUGCAUGGUAUUUCUCCUCUCAAUUAUGUCUACGUUAUGAUAAGCAAUAGCGAUAUCCCCCAAUAGAUAACUUUUAUAUGGUAGUAACAGAAAGGGCCAAUCAGUACAGGCUUGAUUAUAUCCAACACCAUAACCAGUUGAGUCACUGCUGCUAAUAUAAGCAAUCAUUAGAUCUUCAAAUUGAAGCAUAACAUGAUAACCAAACACAGAACAGCAAAGUGACGAAAAUCAACAAUAAGCAGCCGGUAAAUCUGCUCUUUGCAAUUGUCAAACAAAAGAUAUUAAAGCAGAAAGUCCAGAGAAGAGAAAGACAUCAUCCUCCCUUUAUUCCCUUGCCACCCACUAGAAAGAGAGACAGAAAGAGGGAGGGAGAUGGAGAAGAAAGAAGAGGUUUCUCACUGUCUCCCUCCAUGGGUGGUCAUAUCUCCUUUUCAAAAAGGGCAAACUGUGAGUGGAUGGAAUAGGAUGAGAAUAUAGUUGCUGUUUUACUCUUUCGUUGGAGGAUCAAUAUUCCCUCUUGCUAUCACUCUCUCCCAUGAUGAUAAGAAUCCCACCAAAAGAAGGAUAGAUGCUAUAUGAAAUAUCAGGUUCAGCUUCUAAUAAAGAUGAACUUUCAAGAAGGAAUACUCCAAAAUUCCAAUUCUCAUAGUUGCAUGAUAAGCGAACUGUGAAAUGAAAAUUUAUGCUAUCUAACAAAUACGAGAGGAGGGGGAGGGAGAGGGGGGGAAUAAUCAGAGCCUCAUGAUUGGAAUGCAAUUGAAGGUUUCAUGUCCAAGCCUAAUAAUGUCACCUAUUUUCAAUUCUCCAACCCUCUAUACAGCCAUAACAUUACAAAAUCCAUGUAAAAGAUUAAGUAACAUGAAUUGUCUAGAGCAUAAUUCAUGCUCAACUAGAAUCCCACUUUACCACAAUCUUAUUCAUGCAUCCUCUUAAUCAAUUUAGUCAA